GUACUCAUGUAGUGUUAGACACUUAGACUAUACAAGUAUCACUAGUCAAUCGACCAACAAUCAAACAAGAACAUGAUCGACCAACCAAUGAUACCGCAUAGCUUUAAUAUCCACUCACAAGCAAUCCUUCAAACACAUACAGGCCAACGUCAGGCCUACACUAACCAAAUACGCAUCAAGCCUAGUCUGGUACCUACACCAGACUUAGGACUUAAUGUCAGAACCUGCAAACAAAUCAAUCAACAA
This 246-nucleotide long non-coding RNA is filed under the name Brassica napus (rape). RNAcentral's name for it is "long non-coding RNA (BNAP_LNC018073)". The record is from RNAcentral. Lineage: Eukaryota; Viridiplantae; Streptophyta; Magnoliopsida; Brassicales; Brassicaceae.